UCCUCCUCCUCCUCCUCCCCACCCCCCACCGGCGGGAUGACAGGCACCUCGCUCAGGUCUGUGUGAAAAGUCCCUCUCUGAGGAUACGGAUGCCGAGGGAACAGAAGGAACAUGGGGGAAGAAUCGUGGGACCACCCCAUGGGUCACAGCACAGUGUCAGGCAAAGCCACCACAGAGCUCAGUUCCUUUGGCACUGGGCCACCAUCUGAAGUUAAGUCCCCAGAGAAGUUCUUCUCCGUGGGUUACGUCACGACCGCGCCACAGCAGCUCUCAGACAGCCUUCAUUCCAAAUCCCACCAUCAUCUGGAGGGAGCAGCUUGUGUUUCUCCUGUCAGAAAGGUGCUGCUGAGUAACUAAUGUGGUCCAGCUCUUUUUAGGCCAGAGGGGUUGCCAAGGUAACCCGUUCCAAUGGAGAUAGAUCGGCUUUUGAGUCAUCCUCAGAGCCAGCUUCCAUAGUAGAAGGUUUGGAUUGACAGCCAGUGC
Molecule: long non-coding RNA, 483 nt
Filed under: Manacus vitellinus (golden-collared manakin)
Lineage: Eukaryota; Metazoa; Chordata; Aves; Passeriformes; Pipridae
Description: lncRNA (ENSMVIG00005014973.1)
Source: RNAcentral